AUAACAGUUAGAAAUGACUGUUAAUACCGCAUAAAACAGCAGAGUCGCAUGACUCAACUGUCAAAGAUUUAUCGGUGUAAGAUGGACCCGCGUCUGAUUAGCUAGUUGGUGGGGUAACGGCCUACCAAGGCGACGAUCAGUAGCCGGCCUGAGAGGGUGAACGGCCACAUUGGGACUGAGACACGGCCCAAACUCCUACGGGAGGCAGCAGUGGGGAAUAUUGGACAAUGGGCGAAAGCCUGAUCCAGCGACGCCGCGUGAGCGAUGAAGUAUUUCGGUAUGUAAAGCUCUAUCAGCAGGGAAGAAAACGACGGUACCUGACUAAGAAGCCCCGGCUAACUACGUGCCAGCAGCCGCGGUAAUACGUAGGGGGCAAGCGUUAUCCGGAUUUACUGGGUGUAAAGGGAGCGUAGACGGCAUCACAAGUCAGAAGUGAAAAUCCGGGGCUCAACCCCGGAACUGCUUUUGAAACUGUGGAGCUGGAGUGCAGGAGAGGUAAGCGGAAUUCCUAGUGUAGCGGUGAAAUGCGUAGAUAUUAGGAGGAACACCAGUGGCGAAGGCGGCUUACUGGACUGUAACUGACGUUGAGGCUCGAAAGCGUGGGGAGCAAACAGGAUUAGAUACCCUGGUAGUCCACGCCGUAAAC
This 646-nucleotide ribosomal RNA is filed under the name uncultured bacterium. RNAcentral's name for it is "bacterial SSU rRNA". It matches the Rfam family "Bacterial small subunit ribosomal RNA", at positions 143 to 807 of the family's 1533-position model. The record is from RNAcentral.